UCCUGGUUACACGGGACCCGUAUGGCAUACACCUCUCUCAGUCUUUGAUGCUGGCUAAUAUUCCGAAAGAACGGAGGCGGGAAAACAAUAGAAAUAACAACAAUAAAACAAGAAUCAGGAUAAAUGGAAAAAUGGAAAAGGGAGAGGUUAACAAUAGAAGUGAAGGAGGACAAGUAAGAGGUAGUUAGCAGUAAGUUAAGUAGCAGGAAAAUUAUCUACCUGCCAUAAAAAAAAUAAAAAAUAAAAUGAGAGAUUCAAAACCAAACUCUUUCACCUUACUCCCUGCCACAUAGUCCUAGGUUUCCUUCUUUUUUGUUUUCGACUCGCCAUCCACACUCCCUAGAACAUUAGAAAGUUUCCAACAAAAGAAACAAAACGAAAUAAAAAUAAAAGAGAUGAAAAAAAGAAUUUUUUUUUUUUUUUUUAAAAAAACAACGCUUAAAGGAAACGAGAAAAAAUUAUAGUAAGUGUAUAUCAAUAAAAUAAUAGAUAAAGCUAACGCUUAACUAAAGGCCUUUUGAAGAAAAAAUAGGUAGAAAACAGUAGAGGAAAUUAAGAGGAAAGCAAAAUGGGUUUAAGACAGAGAAACGUAAUCAUUAGAAUUGAGCGUACAUAAGUAGGUAGUAAACAAGAUAAUUGGAGGGGAAUGGAUAGGAAACUGGAUAGAAUAAAUGGAAUGGAGAUGAAGAAGUAAAUGGCCUCAUAUAAAACGUUUUCCCUUACAGCCAAAAACCGCUAUACAACAAGAGAGACAAAAAUUGGACAAAAUAUAAUUCCACUCGGCUCAAGGUAUUUGUGGUUGGAUCACGGGCAGGAAGGUGUAUGUGAAAUCGUUUCGCGGCUCGGGGUAGUAGGCCGUAGCGAGCUAGUAGUGGGGUAAGGAGGCUGAGAGUUGGGGAGGGAGGGAGAGGGGGGAAAAUGGGUUUGGAGGUGGCCGAUAGAUGGAAGGGUGGAACGGAAAUGUCAUCGUUGAUACCUGGGUAGUAGCUCUGGAGAUGCCAGUGGCUGUGCCAAAUCUUCCUCAGUGAGCAUCGGUGCCGACGGCGCAGGCCGAUCUUCUUCGCUAAUUGAGGGACCGGAUGCAACGUUUCCGGCUGUUGAAUGGCCUCGUUCAAGUUCUGGAGCACUAGCUUGGGCGAGAAGGCGUUGCCUUUCGAGCUCUUGUUUAUCAUCCUGGGGAGUCUUAGGGGAAGGAAAGCCCAUAUCAACAUUGGGUCGAGGGCUAGGCGUUAUGGUAUCUAUUGAUGGGGCCGAGGCUGGAGAGACACAGUCAGGAUAUUGCGAUGCGAAGCGGCUGGUAGGGAUUCUAUAACUAUUGUCGACUUCAAAAAAAGUAGGGGCAGAUGGAGCAAAGGCUGUGGUUGCCGCGGACGGUUCAUUUUCCACACCGUCGUCAUCCGCUGGACUGCUGGGGAGAAGAGUUUCCUCAGCUCUCCGUAGUCGGGUUUUCUCAUCAACCGCUUCUUGGGGAAGCGCAGGAGGGAUGAAUUGAGGAGGAGGAUAUGGUGAGAAGUUAUCUUGUGGAUGACCUUGCCACAAGCUUACUUCGUUGUGGUCGUAACCGUUUUCAUAAGUAUAAUCGUGCUCAUCAUAUCGGUGUGCAUAAGGGUGAUGGUGAUCAAUUUCAGUAACGGUAUCAGGUUGGACAACUUGAGGGGUAAAGGGAUGGGAGUCCACAACGGGGUUCGUUUCCGAUGUUUGCGGGUGGUGGCCUUUGCCGGAAUCCUUCGUACCUAUCACAACUUCGAAAACGCAGGCAACCACACUCUUUUCUCGUCGUACUGUAUCCGUGUCAAGUAUAUUGUUUCCACAAGGAGACAUCGGGUUACGCCCUUUUUCCGACAGAGUUAGUAUUUGGCCAUUUGGGCUAUAGUUAUAGCUGCUUGAGCCCGUCACCAUAUUCAAACGCGGAAUAAAACGGUCUUGGCCCGCUAACUUCCCACGCAAGUCCAUUACCACUUCGAGAU
This 1967-nucleotide small RNA is filed under the name Histoplasma capsulatum G186AR. RNAcentral describes it as "hypothetical RNA". Lineage: Eukaryota; Fungi; Ascomycota; Eurotiomycetes; Onygenales; Ajellomycetaceae. The record is from RNAcentral.